AUGUCGUCUUCCUCCCCGUCCUCGUCGGACCAGAGCGGGAACCCUAGCCCCUCGCCGCCGGCGCCGGCGGGGGUCCGGCCGGGAGCGGGGCCGGCGGCGUGGCCCAGGCGACGCUGCCGCGACGUCUUCUGGCUGGUCGUCUUCCUCCUCCACCUGCUCGUCUUCGGCGGGGCGCUCGCGCUCGCCGGCCUCAACCGUUUCCGCGUAGCCGACCGCUUCAACAUCGACCGCUACGCCAACCACACCGCCGCCCCGCCAUCCGCCGCAGUCGCGCCGCCGGGGUCGGAUGUCGGCGUGUCCAAGGAGAAGGCGCUGCCCCCCGAGCUGACGGAGACGUACUGGAAGUACUACGGCGCUGCGGGGGCGGUGGGGACGCUGCUCGCGUGGUCCUGGCUGGCGGCGGCGGCCGGGAAGAAGGACGGGGGCAGGGUGCUCAUGCGGGCCGCCGUGCACAGCCUCACGGCGUACCUUGCCGUCAUCAGCGUGCUCUGCUUCUGGGGAAACCACUCCUUCUGGGGCGUGGCGCUCGCUGUAGGCGCUGCGCUCCACUUCCUCUACGUCAUGUCAGUGAUUGAUAGAUUUCCAUUUACAAUGCUAGUACUGCAAAAGGCAAUAAAGAUGGUCUGGGAACUUCCAGAUGUGAUGAGAGUAGCAUAUGCAUUUGUACUGGUAAUGCUUUGUUGGAUGGCAUUAUGGUCCUUUGGAGUUUCUGGCAUUGUUGCUAUGCCCAUACCGAAUUGUGGGCAAUGGUGGCUUGUUCUGGCUUUAUCAGUCAGUUUGUUUUGGACUGGAGCUGUCCUUAGUAAUACAGUCCAUGUCAUAGUAUCAGGAAUGGUGUUCCUUGUUCUCAUUCAUGGUGGACAAGCUGCUGCGUCGAUGCCCCCCAAACCACUUCUAAAGUCACUUCAGUAUGCUGUUACAACUUCUUUUGGAAGCAUUUGCUAUGGAUCACUCUUUACGGCUGCCAUUAGGACUUUACGUUGGGAGAUUAGAGGAGUUCGUUCUAAAAUUGGCAACAACGAGUGUCUUCUGUGCUGUGUUGAUUUUUUCUUUCAUAUUGUGGAGACGCUUGUUCGUUUCUUCAACAAAUAUGCAUAUGUACAGAUAGCUGUCAACGGACAGAGUUUCAAUCGUUCAGCUAGGGAUGCUUGGGAGCUGUUCCAGUCGACUGGCAUUGAAGCACUUAUUGCUUAUGAUUGUUCUGGUGCUGUUCUUUUGAUGAACACAAUAUUAGGUGGGUUAAUUACAGGAACUUGUACUGGUGUUUGGACAUAUUUCACACAACGUGAUAAAGCAAUUAUGGUUGGCUCGACCUCUAUGCUGAUUGGCAUGAUACUGGUUGGGCUAACUGUCGUGGUUGUUGAAAGCGCAGUUACAUCAAUAUACAUAUGCUAUGCUGAGGACCCUCUUCUAAUUCAGAGAUGGGAUCCUGAAUUUUUUGAGCAAAUGUCAGAAGCACUGCACCAGCGACUGCAGUACCGAAGCUCCAGAGCCCGCCAAAUACUGAACGGUCGGCUUGAUCAUUUGCCAAAUACAUCAAGUAUUUGA
This 1548-nucleotide ribosomal RNA is filed under the name Triticum aestivum (bread wheat). RNAcentral describes it as "partial small subunit ribosomal RNA". The record is from RNAcentral. Lineage: Eukaryota; Viridiplantae; Streptophyta; Magnoliopsida; Poales; Poaceae.